GACGAACGCUGGCGGCGUGCUUAACACAUGCAAGUCGAACGGAAAGGCCCUGCUUUUGUGGGGUGCUCGAGUGGCGAACGGGUGAGUAACACGUGAGUAACCUGCCCUUGACUUUGGGAUAACUUCAGGAAACUGGGGCUAAUACCGGAUAGGAGCUCCUGCUGCAUGGUGGGGGUUGGAAAGUUUCGGCGGUUGGGGAUGGACUCGCGGCUUAUCAGCUUGUUGGUGGGGUAGUGGCUUACCAAGGCUUUGACGGGUAGCCGGCCUGAGAGGGUGACCGGCCACAUUGGGACUGAGAUACGGCCCAGACUCCUACGGGAGGCAGCAGUGGGGAAUAUUGCACAAUGGGCGGAAGCCUGAUGCAGCAACGCCGCGUGCGGGACGACGGCCUUCGGGUUGUAAACCGCUUUCGCAUGUGACGAAGCGUGAGUGACGGUAAUGGGUAAAGAAGCACCGGCUAACUACGUG
Molecule: ribosomal RNA, 468 nt
Filed under: uncultured bacterium
Lineage: Bacteria
Description: partial 16S ribosomal RNA
Rfam family: Bacterial small subunit ribosomal RNA
Source: RNAcentral